Molecule: long non-coding RNA, 7684 nt
Organism: Orcinus orca (killer whale)
Lineage: Eukaryota; Metazoa; Chordata; Mammalia; Artiodactyla; Delphinidae
Exons: 3
Source: RefSeq, a predicted model, not a curated record
CACAUCCUCUUCCACGCGGGAGUGGGACUCGCGCCUCCAGGGCUCAAUCUGAUUGAGCGGCUUGGAAUGGGACAGGGCUUGGUUCAGAUCCUAGCUCUGCAACCGACUAGCUAUUACACCUCAGGCGCGUUUCUCUGAGUUUCAGUUUCUUCAUGUGCUUAAGUGCAGCGUAAACGAGAUCCAGGAUAUAAAAUGCCAGCCUGUAGCAGCAGGCAGCAAAGAAGCUUCAUUCCUCCUCCACUCCCAUCUCCUCUGCAUCAAUAACUUCCCUUGUACCGCUCCGUGGUGCCCAGAUAGUGACUCACAGAGGCGAAGCUUUAUCAAGUGUUCCUUGAACAGAACUGAAUGACAUAAAGCAAGUACCCUAACCUGGUGUCCACAGACACCCCGCCAUGGACAGAACUUUGGGGGAGGUCCAUGAGCUUGAAUGGGAAAAACACUGCAUUUUUAAUUUACUAAUUAGAUUUUAAUUCACUAAUCUCAAACUGAAAAUUAGCAUGUCUUUCAAUUAUGAAUAUAUGAAUAAACCCCAGUAAUAUCCUUAAUGCCCCAGCCAUGUCCUGUGACUUUCCACAACAGAAAUCACAGGUCAUUUUAUAUCCUGUUAUCUCCAGGUAUUGCCAUGCUCGUCACUGCUUUGAAAUUAUGGUAGUAUUCAACCUGCCACUACAUCAUGCCAUUAGAUUCAACACAAAGAAGCACGUAUACGACUGCAUCUCAAAAGUUUAAAUAUUUUGGUAAUUACAUUUCAACAUUAUCAGUUUCUUUUGUAACUGUCUGCCUUUUAUUUAUGGAUUCAAAGUUGUUAUUCUGAGAAAGGGUCCCGGGACUUCAUUGUACUGCCAAAAGUCUUCUUGGCACAAAAAACAGUUAAUGAGUCCAACAGAAAGUUGCCCUGGUGCAGAAACCAUCUAGGUGUCCUCGGGCAAACCUGUGACCUUAACCAGACUCAGUUACCUCACCUUUAAAAUAGGGAUAAACACGUCCCACUUCACUUCGGUUGCAGUGGGAUCAUGCCUGUCAAGGAUUUGGCAUGGAGCCUGGGAUACAGUCGGUGCUCUAUAAAUAGUAGUUUCUCCCUCUGUCUCUUAGCCUCUGCCCCUCACCUGAGUGGGCACAGGAGGGAAGUCCUUUUGUGUGGUACAGACCAGAGAGACCCAUAGUGCUUGUUUCACACAUCAGUACACUCAGCUCAGCUGCGUUCUCUCCAUCACCCACACGGGGCUUGGUACCCAGCAGGUGUGCAUGUACUUGUGGGAGAAAUGAGUGAACAAAUGAAUAUGACUAUGGGUGGUCAAGUCAGCUUUGCGUCAGCCUGAGAUAACUGAGUAUUUCUACGGUCUGCGUCUGGUUAUGAGAGCCAGAAGCUGCUGCCAUCUCUGUGGCUUGGGGUGGUGAGGAGGUCCUGGCGGUGGAGCUGCAGAGGUGGGAGCACCUCGUGCCGAGCAGGUGCCUUACGCUCUCUGAGCACCGGGUCCUCAUCGGUUAAGUGGGCCUAACAACACUUUGCUUAGGAGAGAUUUGGGGAGCAUUACAUAUGAUAAUGUCUGUAAUGCUUCUUGUCUUCAGCCUGGCAUAGAGAAGCCACUAAGAAGUAUUUCAUUAAUGAAUGAACGAACAAGUGGAUGAGUAAUUGUUAACACCUGACUCCUUCUGGACUGUUGUCUCUCGCCCGGCAUUGUUACAUGAAUACAUGUACAUGCCCAGAGUAGAUUCAGAGAAAUGCCAGCACUCAGAUGACUCCAUCUUUCCUGAGCUGGUCAAAGUUUUCAGAGUGGUUUCCUGACCAGUACUAGGUAAAUGACUAAUGAGAAUAAAUCAGGGUCCAGGGGCUCAAAAUACUAAACAAGGCAGGAUGUCAACUGAACACACAGAGAAGGCUUUCCUAGCCAUGAGCUAAGGGAAAAGGGGACUUGAGGUCAGUCACUUCUCAGGCCCUCUGCUUCCUGGCCCCUGCCUACCUGUCUUGCUAUACUGCCAAGCAGAUCCAUCAUUCCAUCAGUACCAAGCCCCUUGCCCAUCCCCACGUCCCCUCCUGCAUGCCUUGGUGCACUCAGCCAUGCCCUUCCUUGCCUUCUCAGUUGACCUCAUUCCCAUCUGCCCUUUAAAACUGCCCAAGGGUCCCCUCUUGGAAACUGAGUUCUCCCCAUCUGUUCCAAAGACAGGCUGUGUUUUUCUCCGUCUCUGUGUCUGGUACCCAGGGUGGAGGCUGUACACUCCCACACCCGCCCCCCCCCACUCGACUGUGUAGUCCUGGCAAAGAAAGGACUCUGCCUGGUUAUCUCUGAACCCACCCCACAGCCUUGCUCAGCACAGCCUGAUGGUCAGGACUCUGGGGCAAAACUGGCCUGAGGGGAAACGUCCUAAAAAACAUGUAACCUAGGACACAGAACUCAUGCCGUCUGGUCCUCAGCUCCUUCACGGGCACAAUGAUGAGGGCCAGCCCAUGUUACAUGUGGCUGUGGAAGGGUUAAGUGAGGGAAUACGUGUAAAGUGCUUAGCUGACUGUCUGGGAUGCGGAUGUGAGAAGCUUUCAAUAAAUGCUGGCUGUCACCAUUAUCUCGGUAAAUAAUCCUCUUCCUACAGAAGCAGUAGAAAGCUAACGACAUGUGUGAAAAGGAGGGAUAAAAUUUCCUGAGCCACAAAAAAGUGUUUUUUUUUUUUUUUUUUAAUGAACUGAGAUGAGUUCUCAGGAUUUAUGUAUUAUUUUACAGUACUUCUUCUCAAUGCUAGUCUCAAACACUACCCACUGUCACAGAACUUGACCUGGGCAGGAGAUAAGUGUAUGAGAAGCUUAAUUUUAAACUAAGCAAGACAAAAGUAAAAAAAGUAAUGGCGGCCACUUUGUCCUGAUUUGAAAUCUCAGGACAACUGCUGACUAUCAGAUAAUGAAAGAACUCUCUUGGUUCUCUCUCUGUUGGGAUUUAGGAUUCGCUUGUUUGGCAUUUAAAUGUUUCCCUGCAACUUCUAACAGUCUGAAUUGCUUUGGCUAUGUUCACUUAAUACCCCACUGGUCACAGAGCUCGUUUUAUGAGAGGUGGAUUCUGACAGCAUUAGGAAUCCAGAUGUGUCGGGCACGAGUCAGGAACCUCGGCUCUGAAUUACGGCCAUUGAGCCUAAGAGGCUUAGCGGAAUUCUCUCUCCAGCAAAGUGGGUGAUCAGCUUACUUCUUAAUUGUGUUGCCUGAAAUCCAAGACCCCAAAGGAUAAUCAAACGCAAGGCAAAGUUCAUCCUUGAAACUCAAAACCCAUCUCUGCCCUUCUCCGUAUGGAUUUCUAGUGCAUGAUUCAGGCUGUGUGUCUGGAGGCUAUGCUGGGUCUCACAAGAAAAGCUCUCCUUGAAGCUGACAUCAGAUCCCCUUGGAAAGCCGGGGUCCCUGAUUUGUUAAGUGCAGACAAAUGACUUCCAAACACGAAUUGGGAAAACUGGAAAUAGAGACUAAGGAUGGCAAAAGUAAAGUCAAGGCUGUUCUUUCCCGGCAAAGUUGUUCAGCCCCUGCCCUGGGCUCCUGCCCCAGGGAACUCUAAGUUGUGUUAAGCUCCACGCAGUUCCCUGAUUUCCCAGCCUUGGCACAAGUGGUGACCUGUAUCUAGGAAAACCUUCAUCCCUUCUUUUAACCAAAAGACCGACUUUUUGUCUGAAACUUCGUCCAAAUAUCAGUUCCGAGGCACACUUCCACCCUUGGUCCAGUUAGAUAUCCAUUCACUGUGCUUUCUUUUUUUUUUUUUUGAGGUAUGCGGGUCUCUCACUGUUGUGGCCUCUCCCGUUGCAGAGCACAGGCUCCAGACGCGCAGGCUCAGCGGCCAUGGUUCACGGGCCCAGCCGCUCCGCGGCAUGUGGGAUAUCCCCGGACCGGGGCACGAACCCGUGUCCCCUGCAUCGGCAGGCGGACUCUCAACCACUGCGCCACCCGGGAAGCCCUCACUGUGCUUUCUUAAAGACUUUUCCCAACCAUGGCGCUUGGCCACCAUAAUGAAAUCUCUGACUUUCGAGGGACUCUCUCUCUCAUUUUGCCCCCAAUGGCAUGUCUGGAAUCGCACUUGAUUGACAUCACUUGGAGAGUGCUACUGGCUUCUAGUGGGUCCAGGCCAGGGAUGCUGCUAAACUUCCUACAAUGCACACAGGGUGGCCCCACAGCAAAAACUUAUCCCACCCAAAAAGUCAACGGAGCUGAGCAUAAGAAACCAAAAGCGUAAGCUAUCUGUUCAGAAACUGUACUUUGUCUAACGAGCCAGCAUCUAACACAGUGCUUGGCACAUAGUAAGCACUGAAAACACUGUUACGACGUUGGGUGAAAGAAGGAAGGAAUAAUAAUAUUUGACCUUCUGAUUAAGAAAAUGAACCCAACUUCAGCUGAGGGAGGAUGUGCUGUAGAGUGGAAAGAGUGUUGCCUUUGAGAGAAGAGAGCUGGGUUCAGAUCGCUGCCCUGCAGGUAGUAUUUUUUAACUUGGGUAAGGCGUUAACUCUUUCUGAUUCCGUUUUUUUUUUUUCACCUGUAAAAUAGAGCUAAUGUUAUGUAUUUAUUCCACAAAAAUGUGUUCUACAUCUUGAAAAUGCUAGGCUCUUAGUAACUUGCUAAGGUAAUAGUUGUGACUAAAACAGACGUGGUUUACAGCCUCCAGUGAGCUUACAAUAAGGUCAAGAAAUCACACACUAGGCAAACAGAUGUAUGUAUUGUUGGAAAUCUGACCAGUGUCGAUGAAGAAAAUGUUGCCUGUCAGAUCAGUAAACAAAGGAUGUUGCAGCCAUCAAGCCAUCACAUUACAGCUGCCCCGAAGGUGAACCCUGAGGGAGCUCAGGAUGGAAACACGAUGCCCCCCAAGGUGCACUCUGAGGGGCUUCAGGAUGAGAAAGUACCAGAUGCUGGCCCUAGAGAGCUGAGGUGCCUACCAGUGGAAUGAUUUCAGUGAGCCCAGACUUUGCAUCUUCCCAUACAUAGAAAAGCGCUAAACUCCUUAACCUGAGAUGCCAGGGUUUCUUUAAUGAACAGUAAACUUUCGAUGUUCUGACCACCCGGUCUUUAUGGCAGAAACUCCUGUAUAUCCUGGAUGCUCUUUGGAAUGGUCCCGCAGAGCGAUCUGAGAGGCUGCAUCCGGGGCUUAAGUCCUCAGAAAGUCUGCCGAAUAAAAAGUAAUUCUCAACUUCUAGGUUGUGCAUUUUUUUUCAGUCAACACCAGGAAACAAACAGAGCGCAGUAACAGAGAAUAUCAUGCGGUCACCUUAGGUAGGGUGGUCAGGGAAGGCCUCGGGUGGAUGGGAAGAACAAUCAGAGAACCAGUUUCAGUGGUUCAGGUUCAAGAUAAUGGUGGCUCCAGACAUGGAAGCUGAGACUGGAAGAGUAAGAAGCAGCAAGGCUUCAAAGAAAAGGAGUGAGACCUCUCCAGGCAGAAGACUCGCACGUGGGUGCAAAGGGUGUGAGGGCUGGUUUAUGCCACUGAAGGGAGCGCACGUGACCAAAAAUACGUGAAUGGGGGACAAAGGGCAAGAUGGGAUCAGAGGCCAGGUCGGUCAGGGAUUUUUAGAAAUAGAAUUCAAAAAUAGGAAGAGGAAAAUAGGAAUUUCUAUUUUAUUCUAGGUCUACCUGCAGACACCCAAAGAGUUCUAAGAAGGAAAGAGGAUAUCAACUUCGCUUUUAAAGAGAAUUCACAUGUUCAUAGCAGCACUGUUCACAAUAGCCAAAAGGCGGAAACCACCCAAAUGUCCGUGGAUGGAAGAAUGAAUGAAUAAACAAAACGCAGUAUAAACAUACGACGGAGCCUUAAAAAGGAAGGAAAUUCUGCCACGUGCUACAACAUGGAUGAACCUUGAGGAUAUUAUGCUCAGUGAAGUAAGCCAGUCGCCAAAAGACAAAUGCUGUAUGAUUACACUCAUAUGAGGUGUCUAAAGCAGUCAAACCUGCAGAAGCAGGAAGCUGAAUGGUGGUUUUCAGGGGCUGGAGGGAGGAGGAAACGGGGAGCUGGUGUAUAAUGGGCGCAGUUUCAGUUUUAUAAGACAAAGAAGUUCAGGAGAUUGGUUGCACAACAAUAUGAAUAUAUUUAACGGUACUGAAAUGUACAUUUAAAAAUGGUUAAGACAGUAAAUUUUAUGUGUAUGUUACCACAAUAAAAACAUUUUUUUAAAAAAGGGAACACCGGGCUUCCCUGGUGGCGCAGUGGUUGGGAGUCCGCCUGCCGAUGCAGGGGACACGGGUUCGUGCCCUGGUCCGGGAAGAUCCCACAUGCCGCGGAGCGGCUGGGCCCGUGAGCCAUGGCCGCUGAGCCUGCGCGUCCGGAGCCUGUGCUCUGCAACGGGAGAGGCCACAGCAGUGAGAGGCCUGCGUACCGCAAAAAAAAAAAAAAAAAAAGCAACAACAAAGGUUACACCGUGGCUGCUCCAUGGAGAAUGGAUUGGAGGAAAGCAAGGAAAAAACGAAAGACCAAAGAAGAUGCCACUGAAGUUUCCUAAGCUGGUGGCUUGGACUUGGGUGACUGCAGUGGGAAGGAGGAGACCAGCACUUGGACAUUGAUUCUGGAGAAGAACCACAACAGUCUUCCUUGAUGGAUUCUGUGUGGCCACGAGGGCAAGAGGCAGGUAAGGCACCACUCCUGGGUUUCUGGCUACACAAAUGGGUGGGUGGGGACACGAUUUUUCUUUUUACAGUGAUGCCAUUUUGUUUUCAGUUGAGCAAAAGGAGCAAAACAGGUUUGGAGAAGAAAUCAGAAGUUGAGUUUGGCGGUCCCUUGUCUUCACACACAUACACACUUGAUACAAGACUGUGGUGUGAAGCGGAUCUUAGUAGAUGGAUACAGAAUAAGAUGAGACAGUGGGGAGGAGGUGUCAGUGAAGCUGUGAUAUCAGAGAGAAGUUGGAAGGGAGACAACCCAAUAGGUUUGCAAAGUUAGCUCUGCUGAGCUCAAGGAUCUGUUUGUUUCCUCUGAUCCAGCAUGUCUGGAGAUCUAUGAGCACGAUUCCAGAACACUUGCAGCUGGUGCUCCGAGGACACGUAGACUCAUACACUGAUGGAAGAGUGAGAAACUACAUAUUUUUCUGUGUUGGUUUCCUGAAAGGAUUAUUUUCCCCAUGUUUCCAAAUCUCGUGGAUGAGUAACACACCAAAUGAGCAGAACUAAUCUCUAGUGAGCGUUUACUUCUGCCGGACCACAGGCGUCAUUCCAAGCAGCCUAUGAGGUUAGGACUAUUAUUGUCCCCUUCCACGUAUGAGGACGUGAGGACACAGAGAGGUUGCAAAGUUGCUCAAGAUCACACAGCUCAUAAGCAGAGCGGCCAGGUUUUGAAGUCUGAUAGUCUGACUCUGGAGUCUGUCUCAGCCGGAGAGGCAAGGAGGGUCUGUCACAGGAGGUGACGUUUGGCAGUGUCUCAGAUGAAGUGAAGGAGCCAGCGGAACAAAGAGGUAAGAGUUCCUGGCCGAGAGAGAACACGUGCCAGGAUCGAGAGUCUGCGAGAUGAACUGACCUCACUCUUCUCCUGGAGGACGAGGACGGCAUGACGACCACCUGUGCUGUGGUGGGACUCAGCCUGCAUGGCCUGAUGCAGUCAGACAGACCUAUAUCUGAAAUCCUCAUCUUGGCUAUUUCUGUCCUUGGCUUACAUGUAAGUUACAUACACGCUUGAGCUCAAUUUCCUCCUAAGGAAUAUGAUUGUACAAUAUCUCCUUCAUUAAAUCAUUUAUUUAUACAUUCAGCAAA